UGGCGGACGGGUGAGUAACGCGUGGGUAACCUGCCUCAUACAGGGGGAUAACAGUUAGAAAUGACUGCUAAUACCGCAUAAGACCGCAGUACCGCAUGGUACGGGGGUAAAAACUCCGGUGGUAUGAGAUGGACCCGCGUCUGAUUAGGUAGUUGGUGGGGUAACGGCCCACCAAGGCGACGAUCAGUAGCCGACCUGAGAGGGUGAUCGGCCACAUUGGGACUGAGACACGGCCCAA
Molecule: ribosomal RNA, 238 nt
Filed under: uncultured bacterium
Lineage: Bacteria
Description: partial 16S ribosomal RNA
Rfam family: Bacterial small subunit ribosomal RNA
Source: RNAcentral